RNAcentral lists this ribosomal RNA (454 nucleotides) under uncultured Anaerolineaceae bacterium. RNAcentral's name for it is "bacterial SSU rRNA". It matches the Rfam family "Bacterial small subunit ribosomal RNA", at positions 917 to 1381 of the family's 1533-position model. The record is from RNAcentral. Lineage: Bacteria; Bacillati; Chloroflexota; Anaerolineae; Anaerolineales; Anaerolineaceae.
GACGGGGCCGCACAAGCAGCGGAGCGUGUGGUUAAUUCGAUGCUACACGAAGAACUUACCCGGGUUUGACAUGCAAGUGGUAGUGAUCCGAAAGGUGAACGACCCGCAAGGGAGCUUGCACAGGUGUUGCAUGGCUGCCGUCAGCUCGUGUCGUGAGAUGUUCGGUUAAGUCCGCUAACGAGCGCAACCCUCGCUGUAUGUUACAUGUGUCAUACAGGACCGCCGGUAUCAAGCCGGAGGAAGGUGGGGAUGACGUCAAGUCCGCAUGGCCUUUAUGUCCGGGGCUACACACACGCUACAAUGGUCGGUACAAUGGGUUGCUAAGCCGCGAGGUGGAGCCAAUCCCCCAAAGCCGGCCUCAGUUCAGAUUGCAGGCUGCAACUCGCCUGCAUGAAGCUGGAGUUGCUAGUAAACGCGCGUCAGCUAUAGUGCGUUGAAUACGUUCUCGGGCCUU